This is a long non-coding RNA of Hippopotamus amphibius kiboko, 988 nucleotides long. RefSeq lists it as uncharacterized. The transcript is spliced from 3 exons. The record is from RefSeq and is a predicted model, not a curated record. Lineage: Eukaryota; Metazoa; Chordata; Mammalia; Artiodactyla; Hippopotamidae.
CAGAUUCUCAGGCCACACUUCGGGAAUUUCUGACUCCAUAGAUCUGGGCUGGAGAAAAUGAUUUCCAAUAUUGACAACUGACGAUACUGACUAUAACUCACGCUGUGAAAAUCACUGGCAGAGGCUGUUUUCCAGGAACUUGGAGUCCGCUGCAUCUAAUUCAAGCUGAGCCAGUUAAGACUGGAUAGGACCACUGACCUUCUAUCUGGGCUUGCACAAGUGUCUGGUGACCUUUUGGACGUGCAGCCGCCUGUGGCCUCCUGACGCCUGCGCAGAACGACAAUUACGCCACCUUUUCUCCAGCACCUUUCCCCACACUUCCCAUGCCUCAGACUGUCCUGCUGCUUUCUUCUCUAUCCCAUAAAUACCCCAACCCCUUGCCUCCUGGGAGGCAGAUCUGGGAUUUUCCCCCCCAUUUCCUCGUUUGGCUGUUUUGGGAAUAAAUCUCUCUGCUGCAAACCUCGGGAUCUCAGCAUUUUGGCUGCUGAGCGAUGGGCAAGAUGAACCUGGUUCAGUAACACUGGCCACACUGUACGGCAUGCAAGAUGUUAGUUCCCGGACCAGGGGUCAAAUCCGUGCCCCCUGCAGUGGAAGCACAGAGUCCUAAUCACUGGACAGCCAAGCAAGUCCCUACCAUUUGAUUUUAAAACAGAAGCACAAAACCCCAGUUUCUGCCACCAUUCCUCUCAUGCAGAGGGGAACCAUCCUGAACAAAGCUAAGAUAUCCUGUGCCUGCGCAGACUUUGCCCACCCUCAACCUUGCCACCUCUGCCAAACUCUGGUCUCACACUCCCGCCAAGACUAUGCGAGAGUUGUAGCAGCUCUACCUCCUCACCAACAAUUGGUAUCACCAGCACCAAAAUUUGUGCCAAUUCUACCUGCAUAAAAUAGAAUCUUGUGUUUUUAAAUUUGUUUCUCUGGUUACCUUGAGACUGAACAUCUUUUCAUAUGUUUAUCAGUCAUGUAGGUUUCCUCAUCUGUGAAUGUC